GUUGUUUUGAUAUAAAAAAAAAAUUGUAUUUUCAGUGAAAAAUUAUUCAGAUAGUGUUUGUUAUUUUUUUAAACAGAAAUCUUGGAAAUUCGAAACUAACGUAUUUCUUAGCUCUACCGUACAUUUUUGAAAAGGCGCAAACUUGAAAACGCGCGAGACGUUGGAAGUGGGAAUUUGGAGAGUGGAAGGAUAGGUAUUUGUGAUCUAUAAUAUUUGCAUAGUCACUGAUCUUUGUCAACUUUUGAAGAAAAUAACAGAAUAUGAAGAAGGAAGACUAUAUAUAGGAUUGAUCUACUUCAUAACUGGAAAAAGAGAAGCAGUUCACAAAUGUUGAUGAGCAGAAGACAAGAAACUGGCUGCAAAAAAAAAUCUGAGCUCUUGAAAAAGAAAGAAAAAAAGAAUUGAAAAUAUGAAUGAUAUUCAAUCAAAGGAUCCAAAUGAUGAAAUUCUGGAAAUUCCACAUGGAGAGACAAUAAGGAUUUUUGAAUUGACCAUCUCUGCUAUAAGAACUGCUUGAAAGCUGUUACCCUGGUGCUGAACAUACUUUUCUCCUAGACUGGAAUUAAAAAUUGUUCAAUUUCUGGCAUUAAAACACAAUUUGAAAUAUGCUGAGGAAGGACCCCCCUCUCCUUUUGACCAAGUAAGGUUAAACAUUCUGCAAAGAGUUGCAUUUGAAUUGAAAUUUUUUAUACUUUUACCAGGAAUGAACUACAUUACUCAUUUACUAUGGUUUAAUGUGUCAGAAUUGUCUAUUUUAAGUUUUUUGACAAAGAUUUUGUUGCCAUGGUUGGAAAACAAACAACAUUUCUGUGAAAUCUUUCAAGAUGCUGUAUUAUAAAUCAUCUACUGUUACUUUUUUAGCAUGACUUCAUGCAUUUUCAUGAAUAAACAUGAAUAAUAAUA
Saccostrea cuccullata (small rock oyster) is the source of this 903-nucleotide long non-coding RNA. RefSeq lists it as uncharacterized. NCBI's taxonomy places the organism in Eukaryota, Metazoa, Mollusca, Bivalvia, Ostreida, Ostreidae. The record is from RefSeq and is a predicted model, not a curated record. The transcript is spliced from 2 exons.